UGGGGGGUGAUUCAGCUGAUGUUUGCCUCGAGGACUGGGUUGAACCACAGAACCAAUUAGCUUCAACAGUUGGGCAUGGCGGCACUCCUUUAUAAUCCCGGCACUGGAGACGUGGUGGUAGGCAAGGCAAGCUGGAUAACCAGCAUGGCAUACCUGGCAAAUUCCAGUCCAGUAAGAGACUCUAUCUUCACAAAAAGCAUCCUUACUGGAGGAUCCUCAGCUGCAAGGUCACCCCAUGAUCCAAAAUGGCAGCUGGAGAUUCAGCUGCCUGGUGAGCAGUGGAGAAAUGAGGAAGGCACAAGGUAAAGGAUCCUUUCAGCCGUCUUUGCAGAUGAAGUAAACAGCAUCUCCCCCUCGUAUCGGACUGGCCAGAAGCUGAUCAAGAGACCACAAGCAAGCAAAGAAGUCUGGGUGCUGUCAUCUUAACCUGACGCUUGCAGCUGAAGGAGGAGGAAUGGACCAGUCAGGGACCCUUCCUACUGAGCUGCACCUCAGACACAAUUGUGAUCUCUUGGCUGGCUGGCUGUGUGCCACUGUGUACUCUGAGACCCCAGGGCAGUGCUUGGCACACGGUAGAGAUUUCCCCCCAGUUUUUCCUUUGUAUUGAAGUUUAUCAUAUAUAUGGAUACACUCACUGUUCUGAGAAAUUUCCAUAUACAAAUACACCGAGGUAUAUUAAGAUGUAGAUCA
Molecule: long non-coding RNA, 690 nt
Organism: Peromyscus leucopus (white-footed mouse)
Lineage: Eukaryota; Metazoa; Chordata; Mammalia; Rodentia; Cricetidae
Exons: 2
Source: RefSeq, a predicted model, not a curated record